Molecule: ribosomal RNA, 277 nt
Filed under: uncultured Sphingomonas sp.
Lineage: Bacteria; Pseudomonadati; Pseudomonadota; Alphaproteobacteria; Sphingomonadales; Sphingomonadaceae
Description: partial 16S ribosomal RNA
Rfam family: Bacterial small subunit ribosomal RNA
Source: RNAcentral
UGUGCCAGCAGCCGCGGUAAUACGAAGGGGGCUAGCGUUGCUCGGAAUGACUGGGCGUAAAGGGCGCGUAGGCGGUACAUCAAGUCAGGGGUGAAAGCCCGGAGCUCAACUCCGGAACUGCCCUUGAAACUAGUGUGCUAGAAUCUUGGAGAGGCGGGUGGAAUUCCGAGUGUAGAGGUGAAAUUCGUAGAUAUUCGGAAGAACACCAGUGGCGAAGGCGGCCCGCUGGACAAGUAUUGACGCUGAGGUGCGAAAGCAUGGGGAGCAAACAGGAUUA